Non-coding RNA from Bemisia tabaci, 1048 nucleotides. The record is from RefSeq and is a predicted model, not a curated record. NCBI's taxonomy places the organism in Eukaryota, Metazoa, Arthropoda, Insecta, Hemiptera, Aleyrodidae.
UGGGAACAAUGUUAACACAUGGGUCAUGACUUAAAUAGGUAUCAUAACUUCGAAUCUAUUAGAACCAUUAUUAUCGAAUGCAUCAAUCUCUCCGACUAUGGUCGAGACAGAGGGAGGGAGGCAUGUAGGCUCCAAUGAAGCGUAUGGUUGUACUUAGAGAACUUGGUCACAAUGAAGUGACUUUUAAAAAUAAACAGUGGAGUGCUCAUCAAUAAAAUUGUAGACAUCAGGUUUUUUCUCAUGAUAAAAAUACACGCAAUCAUUCAUACACAAAUCUCAAUCUUGGAGGAUAAAAAAUAUGCUGAGCUAAUAGUCCACCGCAAAACUGGUUUGUUUUGGCCCUGAAAGCUUUUUGAGCACUAUUUAUUUUAAAAAAAGUACCCAGAUACUACCUGAAUGUCGGUCCCACAUCUUAUAUCUUGAGUAUAUUCAACCGUAGAACAUCCUUCAGAAUGUUAAAAAUUACCAGAAGAGUCCUAUAUCUGCUGAGUCUGUUUCUAUUGGUGACCAUUCCACCUACUUUUAGUGUCUGUUGUAAUAGUUAUACUUGGGCCCAGGACAUAGGGAAUAACUACUGCGAAGACGGCAGCUAUUGGAAUGCCAGUGUGCGGACCUGUUGCGGAAAAGGCGCCUGUAACAUUUUUUGCUGUAACUGCGAUGGUGGAUGUCUCGGCCAUAGAUGGGGACAUUGAACAUUUAUUCUUCCUCGUGGUAAUUAAACAAAAGAGUGGGAGGAAUAAUGAAAUAUGUACUUUAUGGCAUAUAUCAGAAUAAUUUAAAUGUGUAUUUCAGUCUCUAUAACGACUUUUUUUUUCAUAUGUAGCUAUGAGAAUUAUAUCUUACUCCAUAUUUUGCUUGCAAGCCAUAUGAAAGGAUCAGAGCUAGAGGGGCUUAAUUACAUUGCAACGUCGCAAAGUUUUGUUUGACAAUUCAUUAAUUCAAGCGAGAACAAUUGUGAUUUUUUUGAAAAACGAUCGUGAACAUUUUCAUUACGAUUCAACGUAAAUCCCUUGGUAUUUUCAAAAUAAAACAUGCAUCCAUAAUGAUA